AGUCGACGAGGUGCUUUGCACCUAGUGGCGAACGGGUGAGUAACACGUAUCUAACCUACCUUUUAGUGGGGGAUAACAGUUGGAAACGACUGCUAAUACCGCAUACGACACCAUUAUGGCAUCAGAAGGUGUUAAAAGGCCCGUUUGGUCGCUAGAAGAUGGGGAUGCGGCGUAUUAGCUAGUAGGUGGGGUAAUUGCCCACCUAGGCAAUGAUACGUAGCCGAACUGAGGGGUUGAUCGGCCACAUUGGGACUGAGAUACGGCCCACACUCCUACGGGAGGCAGCAGUAGGGAAUUUUUCACAAUGGACGAAAGUCUGAUGAAGCAAUGCCGCGUGAGUGAUGACGGUCUUCCGAUUGUAAAGCUCUGUUGUAAGGGAAGAAUAGGUAAAAGAGGAAAUGCUUUUAUUUUGACGGUACCUUACCAGAAAGCCACGGCUAACUAUGUGUCACCAGCCGCGCUAAUACAUAGGUGGCAAGCGUUAUCCGGAUUUAUUGGGGCGUACAGGGUGCGUAGGCGGUUCGAUAAGUUUGAGGUGAAAUCCCGGGGCUCACCCCCGGGUCGCCUUGAAAACUG
This 576-nucleotide ribosomal RNA is filed under the name uncultured bacterium. RNAcentral's name for it is "bacterial SSU rRNA". It matches the Rfam family "Bacterial small subunit ribosomal RNA", at positions 60 to 635 of the family's 1533-position model. The record is from RNAcentral.